GACGAACGCUGGCGGCGUGCUUAACACAUGCAAGUCGAACGCUGAAGACCUGGCUUUUGUUGGGUUGGAUGAGUGGCGAACGGGUGAGUAACACGUGAGUAACCUGCCCUCUUCUUUGGGAUAACGCCCGGAAACGGGUGCUAAUACUGGAUAUUCACUGGCCUUCGCAUGGGGGUUGGUGGAAAGGUUUGUUCUGGUGGGGGAUGGGCUCGCGGCCUAUCAGCUUGUUGGUGGGGUGAUGGCCUACCAAGGCUUUGACGGGUAGCCGGCCUGAGAGGGUGACCGGUCACAUUGGGACUGAGAUACGGCCCAGACUCCUACGGGAGGCAGCAGUGGGGAAUAUUGCACAAUGGGCGAAAGCCUGAUGCAGCGACGCCGCGUGAGGGAUGGAGGCCUUCGGGUUGUAAACCUCUUUCGCGCAUGGUCAAGCCGCAACUGUGGGUUGUGGUGAGGGUAGUGGGUAAAGAAGCGCCGGCUAACUACGUG
This 486-nucleotide ribosomal RNA is filed under the name uncultured bacterium. Its description in RNAcentral is "partial 16S ribosomal RNA". It matches the Rfam family "Bacterial small subunit ribosomal RNA", at positions 28 to 507 of the family's 1533-position model. The record is from RNAcentral.